UGGGGAAUCUUGCGCAAUGCGCGAAAGCGUGACGCAGCAACGCCGCGUGAGGGAAGAAGGCCUUCGGGUUGUAAACCUCUUUCAGUUGGGACGAAGCCUCAGCCGGUGAAUAGCCGGUCGGGGUGACGGUACCUUCAGAAGAAGCCCCGGCUAACUACGUGCCAGCAGCCGCGGUAAUACGUAGGGGGCAAGCGUUGUCCGGAAUCAUUGGGCGUAAAGAGCGUGUAGGCGGCUCGGUAAGUCCGCUCUGAAAGUCCGGGGCUCAACCCCGGAAGGCGGGUGGAUACUGCCGGGCUAGAGUCCGGAAGAGGCGAGUGGAAUUCCUGGUGUAGCGGUGAAAUGCGCAGAUAUCAGGAGGAACACCAAUUGCGAAGGCAGCUCGCUGGGACGGUACUGACGCUGAGACGCGAAAGCGUGGGGAGCGAACAG
This 429-nucleotide ribosomal RNA is filed under the name uncultured bacterium. RNAcentral describes it as "bacterial SSU rRNA". It matches the Rfam family "Bacterial small subunit ribosomal RNA", at positions 355 to 775 of the family's 1533-position model. The record is from RNAcentral.